UGCAAGUCGAACGGCAGCACGGGUGCUUGCACCUGGUGGCGAGUGGCGAACGGGUGAGUAAUACAUCGGAACAUGUCCUGUAGUGGGGGAUAGCCCGGCGAAAGCCGGAUUAAUACCGCAUACGAUCCACGGAUGAAAGCGGGGGACCUUCGGGCCUCGCGCUAUAGGGUUGGCCGAUGGCUGAUUAGCUAGUUGGUGGGGUAAAGGCCUACCAAGGCGACGAUCAGUAGCUGGUCUGAGAGGACGACCAGCCACACUGGGACUGAGACACGGCCCAGACUCCUACGGGAGGCAGCAGUGGGGAAUUUUGGACAAUGGGCGAAAGCCUGAUCCAGCAAUGCCGCGUGUGUGAAGAAGGCCUUCGGGUUGUAAAGCACUUUUGUCCGGAAAGAAAUCCUUGGCUCUAAUACAGUCGGGGGAUGACGGUACCGGAAGAAUAAGCACCGGCUAACUACGUGCCAGCAGCCGCGGUAAUACGUAGGGUGCAAGCGUUAAUCGGAAUUACUGGGCGUAAAGCGUGCGCAGGCGGUUUGCUAAGACCGAUGUGAAAUCCCCGGGCUCAACCUGGGAACUGCAUUGGUGACUGGCAGGCUAGAGUAUGGCAGA
This 606-nucleotide ribosomal RNA is filed under the name Burkholderia sp. RNAcentral describes it as "bacterial SSU rRNA". It matches the Rfam family "Bacterial small subunit ribosomal RNA", at positions 56 to 655 of the family's 1533-position model. The record is from RNAcentral. Lineage: Bacteria; Pseudomonadati; Pseudomonadota; Betaproteobacteria; Burkholderiales; Burkholderiaceae.